RNAcentral lists this long non-coding RNA (525 nucleotides) under Phoenix dactylifera (date palm). Its description in RNAcentral is "long non-coding RNA (PDAC_LNC022425)". The record is from RNAcentral. Lineage: Eukaryota; Viridiplantae; Streptophyta; Magnoliopsida; Arecales; Arecaceae.
UUUUUUGGGUGUCAUUAGUUUUCCUAGUGGAUUCGCUUGUUUCCUUUCACUUGUUGUUCUUAGACAAUUCAAUGUAAUUAUACAUUCAAUGGUGUCAAAGUUUUAGCUAACUGAUUUGGACUUGCUCUGAUGUUGUUUUAGUGAGGAUCUUUUGGACUUGCUAAAAUAAGCAUUUAUGUUAAACUUUUUCCAUGAAAUUGCAGCACAAUUGUUUAGUGAACUGAAGGAAAUGGACAAGAACAUAGCAUGCAUAUGAUGGAACUAAAGGCUUACUCAGAUAAACAUUCUUUUAAUUUAUUUUUCUUUUUGAAUGUGCGAUAACACAUGUACUGGUGUGGUGAGAACAAUUGCAUUUUUGGCAUGGUCUGAUAUAGUAGAAUGCCAUAGACUCUAAAGAAGUAACUAGAAUGGCAUGAACAUGUGUAUUGAGGACUUGAGGAGGUGCCUGUAAGGGGAGCUGCUCGAGUUUGGUUUAUCAAUUUAUGAAGAGGAGAAGAAGAUGCUAGCGAUCUGGAAGAAAGUUGG